Sinocyclocheilus rhinocerous is the source of this 556-nucleotide long non-coding RNA. RefSeq lists it as uncharacterized. The transcript has 3 exons. NCBI's taxonomy places the organism in Eukaryota, Metazoa, Chordata, Actinopteri, Cypriniformes, Cyprinidae. The record is from RefSeq and is a predicted model, not a curated record.
GGGCAUCACACAGGGUCUACACGCAGCAUUGUGAGAAUUACAUUGUUGCACAUUAUCCAAGGGCUUAGAGACGAUAAAAUAACGGACAGCAGGAUAAAAUCCUAGUGCACAACUGCAUCAGAAUACUACGUGGACGCUGGAAACGACCACCGGCAGAGAAUUGAUGUGAAUAAUCAUAUGGAAGCUGAAUGCUGUUCAUUUAGUGCAACAUCUACAACAGUCUGCAGAAAUUUACAUUCCAGAGAGGAGGUGAAGUGGGUGUCUUUACGUCCAAAAACUGCCCCAGCUUUAAGAAUACACCAUGAUGAAGUGUUAUGCAUCCUAAGAGGCAUUGCAAGCUAGCUGUGAGGUUUCGUUGCCAAGGCAACUCAGACACCCACUCUACAGUGUUCGGCUCACCCUUGCUGAGCAGGCACAUUGGUCAAGACCCACUAAAAGCGACCGAACAACAAAAGAGAGAGGGAAAGAAAGAGUAAGCUAAGUUUGGAAGGUUGCCCUGAAUCAAGAAGAGCAGCUGUAGACACCAGCAGCUGGGUUUCACUACCAUCCUAAUGCA